GCGCAGCAGUCGAGAAUCUUCGGCAAUGGGGGAAACCCUGACCGAGCGACGCCGCGUGUGGGAUGAAGGCCCUUGGGUUGUAAACCACUGUCAGAGGGGAUGAAAUGCCGGAAAGUUAUCUCUCCGGUUUGACAUAGCCUCAGAGGAAGCACGGGCUAAGUUCGUGCCAGCAGCCGCGGUAAGACGAACUGUGCAAACGUUAUUCGGAAUCACUGGGCUUGAAGAGUGCGUAGGCGGUUUCGUAAGUAGGGUGUGAAAGCCCCCGGCGUCAACCGGGGAAGUUGCGUCCUAAACUGCGAGGCUGGAGUGAGGUAGGGGUGGUGUGGAACUUCCAGUGGAGCGGUGAAAUGUGUUGAUAUUGGAAGGAACGCCGGUGGCGAAAGCGACACACUGGACCUUGUCUGACGCUGAGGCACGAAAGCCAGGGGAGCAAACGGGAUUAGAUACCCGGGU
Molecule: ribosomal RNA, 453 nt
Filed under: uncultured organism
Description: bacterial SSU rRNA
Rfam family: Bacterial small subunit ribosomal RNA
Source: RNAcentral